UUUUAAAAAUCUCCUAGCCGAUAUAAUAUUAACCCCAGGCUUAUCCCAUAGCCAGUGUCAAUAUUCAGUUUCCUUCUUAACAGACCGCCUAGCGAAGCACUGGGAGUGGAAAAUAAAGGAUACACUGGUGAUGAGCAGCAGACAAGAACUGAGCCCAUAUUACCUGACAUUCAUCCCCUACAUGUAAGAAAAUAUCAUUUAUAACAUUUUCAGCUUACCCUGAGAGUUCCCCAUAUGAAAACGCAGAAUGCUAAUAUAAGGUUUAAAUAAGAAAAUGUAUGUAAAUGCAUUUAGCACAGUGUUUGGAAUAUAUUUAGCACUUAAUAUGUGUUAAUUAUCUACUAUGCCUCGUGUGCUGCACUGUCGCAGUUUCUUUCCUAAUUACAUUUUCUUUAAAUUAAUAUGCAAAACAGUUGCACUCCCAGAGAAAGGAGACAAGUGAAGGUAGCCUGAGCAUGCGAUCAAUGAUAAAUUGUCACCAGAGAUUUAGAUAGAGCCUGGGGCAUAUGUGUUACUUCUAAAACACAAAAUCCUGAAGGGCUUUUGACUUUAGUUAAAUGAGGGAACUCAGAAAAUAAGCUUACUGAAUAUUUGUUAAAUACAUGAAUGAAUUUAAUUCACCAUAUACUGUAUUAUAAAUAAGACAGUUUAGGAGAGUUUGGGUCCUCAAAUCUCUUGUUGAUGUUUUUUGUAUUAUUUGGCAUGAAAUUAUAGAAGUAAUAAUGAUUUAGCUGAUGCCAGUUUGUUACAUUAGUUACCUGUCAAAGGCCAGUUCUCAGCAAAACUGUGGUUUGAGAAAACCGUGUUUGGUGUCCUCUCCCAGUUGCAAUUAGGAUGCUUGGUUAGUUUUUCUCUCCGGCACCCAGUGCUUCUCCUGGAUCCUGUUUCCCCUGAACCAUGAUUUCUGGUUGUAUUGACAUCCAAUGGGGGUUAGCAGAAAACAUUUCAAAGAGAGUAACUUCAGCCAGGCAUAUCUGUAUUACAAUAGUGAGUUCUGGAAAUCCUCAAAGACCGCCAGGAUCCAAAGGGAUGUAGCUGGUUGUGGAAUUUCAGGCAUGCAGACCAUUAGAGAUACUAAGAUUUGGAGGCUAGCCGACUGGACUUGUGCUCCUCAGAUCAUAACCUGUGAAGAAACUCCCACUCUUCCCCUAUGCAUGUUGCCAUAUAGCGAAGAACCGCGGAGUCCCUGGCGAGACUUCCAACCAGCUUCUCGAGUCCGCACUACAUCACGCUGGUAAGGACAGUCCCUGGGCCCCUUUGUGUUGGUUGUGUGAGUCUGUGUCCAGUCCACUGAUCAUCUGAACGGCUCCUCAUUUCCUUGAAAAGGUCCAAUCAGAGAACCCAGCUCUCCGAUCUG
RNAcentral lists this long non-coding RNA (1357 nucleotides) under Sus scrofa (pig). Its description in RNAcentral is "lncRNA (ENSSSCG00040009434.1)". Lineage: Eukaryota; Metazoa; Chordata; Mammalia; Artiodactyla; Suidae. The record is from RNAcentral.